GGGCCCGCACAAGCGGUGGAGCAUGUGGUUUAAUUCGAUGCAACGCGAAGAACCUUACCUACCCUUGACAUCGAGAGAACUUUCCAGAGAUGGAUUGGUGCCUUCGGGAACUCUCAGACAGGUGCUGCAUGGCUGUCGUCAGCUCGUGUUGUGAAAUGUUGGGUUAAGUCCCGUAACGAGCGCAACCCUUGUCCCUAUUUGCCAGCGAUUCGGUCGGGAACUCUAGGGAGACUGCCGGUGACAAACCGGAGGAAGGUGGGGACGACGUCAAGUCAUCAUGGCCCUUACGGGUAGGGCUACACACGUGCUACAAUGGCCGGUACAAUGGGUUGCGAAUCCGCGAGGUGGAGCUAAUCCCAUAAAGCCGGUCUCAGUCCGGAUCGGAGUCUGCAACUCGACUCCGUGAAGUCGGAAUCGCUAGUAAUCG
RNAcentral lists this ribosomal RNA (427 nucleotides) under uncultured bacterium. RNAcentral describes it as "bacterial SSU rRNA". It matches the Rfam family "Bacterial small subunit ribosomal RNA", at positions 917 to 1344 of the family's 1533-position model. The record is from RNAcentral.